Molecule: long non-coding RNA, 8498 nt
Organism: Nerophis ophidion (straightnose pipefish)
Lineage: Eukaryota; Metazoa; Chordata; Actinopteri; Syngnathiformes; Syngnathidae
Exons: 2
Source: RefSeq, a predicted model, not a curated record
AUACACACAUAUCCAUCACACACACACACACACACAUACACACACACACACCUAUAUAAAUACUAUAUAUAUAAUAGUAUAUAUAAUAUACACUUUAGUCUAAACAUUAUUAACAGUUUAUGGUGCCUAUGGGAACAAGCUUUCAUUUUGACUGUGAUAUUAGUGGUUAAUAGUGGAUCUGUGGCUGUGGAGCUACUGCCCCUGAUCAACAGGACCUGAGGACCACUCUUGCUAUGUGUCCAAUGCUGUGCAUUAAAAGAGACGAGGGGAGCCCCCUGCCAGAGGAGUUAUCCACGAACAUAAGAUCCCCCACUCGCCUGCCCUGUACUCCAGAUAGUGUACCCAAAUCCCUUUUCUUAGUUUCCAUCGGCACCAAUUCUGUAGUCAGAAUUCAUAUUUGUUUUUACGUUUGCAGAAAAUUAGUAUUAGUCAAAUUGCAUAUAGGAAUGUUUGUGUACACACACACACACACACAUGCGCGUACACACACACACACAAUUCAAUGUAUUCCUCUCAUUGAUACUAAUCCAUAUAGUUUAACUAGUUGGAUGAUGUCAUAGAAGUAAUAAUAAUAAUGAUAAUAUCAACAAUAACUAAACAAUAAUAAUAUCGAUAAUGAUAACAAUAAUUAUAACAAUAUGAACAAUAGCAAUGACAAUAAAUGAUGACAAUAAUACAUAUAAAAUAAUGAAGAUGAUGAUGAUGAUGAUAAUAACAACAAUAAUAAUAAUAAUAACAAUAAUCAUUAUUAGCCAGUGAUGGAGUUUAACACUUAGGCAUCCAUGUUCACAUUCAUAUACAUUGCCCAUACCAUUUUUUUGUAUCUUGUUUUGAACUGAUGGACAUUUGAACAUUGCUUGAGCCCCACAUCCAAUCCGUUCCAAAGUUUCAUUCCACGCACAGACACACACAAACUUUUCCUUGUAGUUCUUACUUUUGGAAUAGUAAAGAUACUACACCCCCUUAGAUUAUGAACUCCUUCUCUGUUUGAAAUGUUUUUGAAUAUUGGCAGGUAGAACCUUUUUGUUUGCUUUAAAUAGUAAUUGAGCUGUAUUAAAAUCAACUAGAUCAGGCAGUUUUAAUAAUUUAAAUUGUAAAAAUAAAAAAUUUGUGUGGUCACAAUAUCCCACCUUGUGUAGAAUUCUUAUUGGACGUUUUUGGAGUGUAACCAGGGGAUGUAGUGAAGUUUUGUAGUUGUUGCCCCAGAUUUCUAUGCAGUAAUUUAGAUAUGGUAAGACCAAUGAACAAUAUAAUAAAUGCAGAGCUGUGUAAUUUAAGAAGAAUUUGGAUUUAUUGAUAAUAGAGAUGGUUUUGGAGAUUUUGCUUUGUAUAUGUCUUAUGUGUGGUUUCCAGCUUAAUUUAUUAUCAAUAGUGACUCCUAAGAAUUUAAUUUCUGACACCGUUUCUAGAAUCACGCCAUCUAUAUUUAUUGCUGGUCCUGGAUUGGAAUAGCCGAGUAACAUAACUUUUGUUUUCUUUAAAUUAAGGGAUAAUUUGUUUAUAUCUAACCAUGUUUUUAAUUUUGCAAGUUCAUUAUUUAGGGUGGAUACAAAAUGUGUAUAAUUAUCGUUAGAAUAGAAAAUAUUAGUGUUGUCUACAAAUAUGACUAAUUUUAAUACAUUUGAUACUGUAAAUAUGUCAUUAAUAUAUAAGUUAAAUAACUUGGGACCAAGAACGGAUCCCUGUGGAACCCCACAAGCAAUGUCCAAAUGCCCAGAUGUAAACUCGCCCAUCUUCACAAACUGCUGUCUUUGUGUUAAAUAGCUCCUUACCCAAGUCAAAGCUACUCCCCUUAUUCCAUAUCUGUAUAAUUUUUUCAGUAAUAUUUGAUGAUUAGUGGUGUCAAAUGCUUUACUCAGAUCCAUGUAAAUUCCAGCUGCAUAUUUCUUACUAUCUAAGCUAUUGGUUAUCUCUUCUACUGCAUCAAUUAUUGCCAUAGAUGUUGACCUUGCUGUCCUAAAACCGUAUUGACUUUCAUUAAUUAUCUUAUGUUUAUCUAUAAAUUUCUCUAAUCUAGUGUUAUAUAAUUUCUCCAAGAUUUUGGAAAACUGCGGGAGCAAAGAGACAGGUCGGUAGUUUGUGAAGAUGUGUUUGUUCCCAUUUUUAUAUAUUGGUAUUACCUUUGCCAUUUUCAUUUUAUUAGGAAAUUGUCCUGUUUGGAAGGACAGGUUAAAUAUAUGAGUUAGUGGUUUGGUGAUGGAAUGUAUGUUUUUUUCACAAGUGUCAUAUCUAUGUCAAAACAAUCAGUAGAUGUUUUAUUUUUGCAAUUAUUAACAACAUCUAUUAUUUCCUCUUCAGUUACUCCCAACAGAAACAUACUCAUUGGAUUCAUUUCAAUCAGUGACUCCAUUUCAUUGCUGCUAUAAUCAGGGAUUUUGGCUGCCAAUUCUGAUCCGACAUUUACAAAGAAACUGUUAAAACUCUCCACAACAUUAUUCAUAUUAUAAUUAUCUUGGUUGUUAUCAGCUAGGAUACAAGUUAUUUUUUGAUUUGCCUUUAAUUAUAGUGUUAAGUAUUCCCCACACCUCCUUAGUGUUGUUCUUAUUCCUAUGUAAUAGAUUGGUAUAAUAUAUUUUCUUACUAGUCCUUAUUAUAUCAGUCAAUUUAUUUUUAUAUGUUUUAUAUCUAUGUUCAGAGUCUUCAAUCAGUUUCUUUGUAUAUUCAUUUUUUGAGCCAGGUUUUACAUUACUUAAUUUGAUGAAUUGUCUAUAUAAUGUGUUUUUCUUUUUACAAGCGUUUUGUAAACCCUUGGUUAACCAUGGGCACUUUAAAGUUUUGUUGUUGUUUGUAAUUUUUUUAUUGGACAUUUUUGGUUAUAUAUUGAAUUAAAUAUAUCUAUAAAUGAUUCAAAGGCACUAUCCACAUCCUUUUUGUUGUACACGCAAUCCCAGUUUUGCAUUGUUAGGUCCUGAUUUAAUAGAUUGAAAGAGUCUUCUGUUCUAACUCGUUUGUAAGUAUAUUUUUGCUGUGAAUUCAGGUCUGUACUGGUCUCAUCAUUAUACACUGUGAAUACAGGCAGAUGAUCGGUUAUGUCACAGACCAUUACUCCACUGAUGUUUGAAGACUGCAUAUUAUUUGUGAAGAUGUUUUCGAUGAGGGUUGCACUGUGCGAUGUUAUUCUAGUCGGUCUUGUAAUGGUUGGAUAUAAACUCAUACUGUACAUCCUGUUAAUAUAGUUUUCUGUUGCUAUGCGGUUAUUUGGAUUCAUGAGAUCAAUAUUAUAAUCCCCACAAAUAAAUAUUGUUUUAUUAACUAUUUCUGAGAAAGUUUUUUCAGCCCACUCAGUAAAUAGUUCCACAUUUGAACCUGGUGACCUGUAUAUACAGCUAACUAUGAUAUUUUUCUUCCUUUCAUUAAUGAUUUCUAUUGAUAAGCAUUCAACUAUAUCAUCAUUUACUGAUACAGUCAUGUCUUCUAAUAUUUUGUAUUUAUAUUUCUUGUGAACGUACAUAGCGACUCCUCCACCCAUUUUAUUUGUUCUGUUAAUAGUUUAAAUUAUAAUCCUUUAUCUCAAAAUCAAUGCCUUUUGCUUCAUUAAACCAUGUUUCAGAUAUAGCAAUUAUGCUAAAUGGAUUCACAAAAUGUUGUAAGUAGUCUUGAAUUGCACUGGAAUUUGCAUACAUGCUUCUACUGUUAAAAUGGAUGACUGAAAAUGUGCCUUUUGAUUUUAUUGAGUUAUUAUAUUCCUUUUCUGAAUAGUAUUUGCAGUUAAUGGAGUCAGAUGAUGGAAACAUAUUAUCUGGAUCGAGAUGAUAUUCCAAGUCUAAUGAAUUGUGAUCAGUAUACUCAGAUAAUUUUAGAUCAAAAAUCUUGGAAUCUAGAAUCCUUUGUUGUAUUGUUAAAUUGUUGUCUGUAAUAUCAGUCUGGUGUGCCAUGGGAGAUUAAGUAGUUUCACCCAUUUGGGUUAAAACAUUUUUUGCAAACCAGUAAUUAUAAUCUGUAAGUAGUGUACCGUUGUUAAGUGUCUGCGUGGUCUAGAGCGCGGUUGAGUAACCGUGUAAUAUUCUUCCAUAUCAGUAGGUGGCAGCAUGUAGCUAAUUGCUUUAUAGAAGUCGGGAACGACGACGAUAGUUUUUUGUGAUCCCAAUACGCAGACGACAGGUGGGGAAAAGGCAUCUAAUGCUUAAACAAAAAUAAACAAAAGGCGAGUGCCGCUAAAUAAACGCAUUGAAGCUUUGGCUAUGCAAAACGAAACUAAAACUGAACUGGUUGCAAAGUAAACAAAAACAAAAUGCUGGACGACAGCAAAGACUUACAGCGUGUGGAGCAGAGAUGGCGUCCACAAAGUAUUUUCGAACAUGACAUGACAAUCAAUAAAGAAGGAUAGCAUCCGCAAAACUUAAAUAGUCUUGAUUGCUAAAACAAAGCAGGUGCCGGAAAUAGCGCUUAAAGGAAACUGCUACAGGAAAAUACCAACAAAAGAGGAAAAGCCACAAAAAUAGGAGCGCAAGACAAGAAUGAAAACAUUACACACAGGAAAACGGCAAAAACCUCCAAAUAAGUCAGGGCUUGAUGUGACAGGUGGUGACAGUACACCUACUUUGAGACAAGAGCUAUAGUGAUGCAUGCUUGGUGAUGGUUUGAAUUCAUAUCCAACAAUUGUGACAACGACUUUUUACUGUCAAUAUCCGUUGCUGGUUUAAUUUUUAAUGUUUUCUGCUUGUGGUGUGCUUCAGGAUUUUUACAAUGAAAAAAUUGUGCCUUGGCUCAAAAAAGGUUGAAAAACACUGGACUAGGUGUCGGCACGGACAACAAAGGCGGACAUUUUUAGGACUUAUGCAAAUCCCAAAUACAGAUCAGUAGGUACCGAAAGGUAAGAAACGUUGCUUUUGCAUAAUAUUGCGAAACAAAAUGGCAGAUAAUGUCUUACCUUACACACACACCACGAUAAUACUCCUUUGUUGAAGCACAGUACAAUCCAUCAAGCGGUGCGGCUUCAUAGCUUACCAAAGUCCUACUAAAACAUUUUAAUCGAUUUUUGAGGGCCUUGUGUAAUGUUCUAUAUUUUUAACGGAGCAUAUGAAAUGUUGGUGUUGUUUACCUGAGUCAUAUUGCAGUCUACACAUAUCUCUUGUGUGUGACUACCAUCAUAUUACAGUCUGCACGUAUCUCUUAUGUGUGACUGCCAUCCACUGGUCAGACCCAUCAUUACACCAUGUCCCAAAUAAAAUAGCUUAGAGGUCAGUAAGCACAACCAAAAUGAUUCCGUACAUUAGGCGCACCGGGUUAUAAGGCGCACUGUCGAGUUUUGAGAAAAUAAAGGAUUUUAGGUGCGCCUUAUUGUCCGAAAAAUACCGUGUAUAAUUUAUAUUUAUUUGUUUAUGAAAGAUACGUUUUUAUUAACACAGUGUUUAAUGAUAAUACAAGCAUGUUUAACACAUAUAGAUUCCUUUCUUUCAUGAAGAGAAGAAUAUAAGUUGGUGUAUUACCUGAUUCUGAUGACUUGCAUUGAUUGGAAUCAGACAGUAGUGAUAACGUCCACAUUUUCAAAUGGAGGAGAUUAAAAGUCCUCUUUUCUGUCCAAUACCACAUGAAAGUGGUUGCUUUUUGCCAUCUUAUUUGUCCAGCUUCCAUACUCCUUUUUAAUACACUUUACAAGAAAUACAUUGUCGGCUAAUUCAGUAGCUUGCUAGCUUGUGCGCGCCAGCUUUCGGAGAGUCUUAUUUUGUUAGCGCAGGCAGGGAUGAAGAAGCGCUUUUAUUGUGAAGACAGGAACUGUGCAGUCGGUCUUUAGACUUGACGGAGUCUGUUGAAAUAAAAAAUGUUUCUCGCCUUCAUGUCGGUCGUUUUUUCUUAAUAAUGAUCUGGCAUCAGCCAGCGUCAUCUCACAAGACCCUCGGGUGCCGUGAAUGUCAAUCAAGUGACGAAAGUGACGUCUUGGUCAAGAUUAAUAAUCCCUAAUUUUUAGGUCUAUUUUUUUAACACCCUCCACCGCCGACCGGUAGCCCGCGAUCAACAUAAUGGGCACCCCUGGUUUAAGAGAUUUCACCGGGUUUUUUGUUGAUGACCCGUCCCCCACCCCUGCCAGCUGCUAGACACCCGCUUUGUGCAUCAUGGAAACAAGCCAGACUGAUAACGCGCCACAUGGCCCUUUGCACCGGGGAUUGGUGUGUGUGUGUGUGUGUGUGUGUGUGUGUGUGUGUGUGUGUGUGUGCACAGUGUCUACAUCCCCCUCUCUUUGUGGCAUGGAGAUGUGUGUUCUGAUCUCUGCGCAAACACACACCUUUCACACACACACGGUGUCAACCCGGCAGCUACAACAUUAGGUACAGCUCAGAGAUAACUAGAAAAGGACCCCUUUAUAGUUCAUUAAACUCAGGCUCAGCAACAUGUUUUAUUGAUUUUAUUGACUGACUUAUUUACAUGUGUCUUGGAAAAGAACUGACUGACCAUACCAUUAGGUACACCUGCCCACUCUGAUAACAAGCUAUAUGUUAGGGCUGUGAAUCUUUGGGCACCACACGAUUUUAAACCAAUUCUUGAUUCAAAAUCAAUACUUUUUAAUAACAUUGGUGCCAGUUUCAUGAUUAACUCAAUUCGCUUCAAAAAAAUGGAUAAACCACUCUGAUACAUUUCUAUAUUACUUAAAAGACAACUGGUUUUGUUAAAAAAAAAAAAAGAGACAUUAAAUAAAGUCAAAACCAGUGAAGUUGGCACGUUGUGUAAUUCGUAAAUAAAAACCGAGCACAAUGAUUUGCAAAUCCUUUCAAUUUAUAUUCAAUUGAAUAGACUGCAAAGACAAUAUACUUAAUGUUAGAAAUGAGAAACUUAUUUUUUUUGCAAAUAAUCAUUAACUUUGAAUUUAAUGGCAGCAAAUUAUUGGCACAGGGGCAUUUUUACCACUGUGUUGCAUGGCCUUUUCUUUUAACAACACUCAGUUAAAGGUUUAGGAACUGAGGAGACCAAUUUUGGAAGCUUUUUAGAUGGAAUUCUUUCCCAUUUUUGCUUGAUGUACAGCUUGUUGUUCAACAGUCUGGGGUCUCCUUUGGGGUAUUUUAGGCUUCAUAAUGCACCGCACAUUUUCACUGGGAGACAGGUCUGGACUACAGGCAGGCCAGUCUAGUACCCACACUCGUUUACUAUAAAGCCACGCUGUUGUAACUAGGGUUGGGUAUCGAAUAUGGAAUAUCGAUUGAAACUGGGACUAACUUUCCGAUUCUCCCGGAAUCGUUCAAAAGUUUAAAUUUCGAUUCCUAGUUUCGAUACCCAGUCCGCCGACCGGAAGAAGAAGCCGCUGAACACCAACGAAGAAGCGCCCACCGCCGGAAGUGUUAGCAUAGCCGAGCCUAUGUAGCCGAGCGAGUCAGUCAAGCAUGGAUAGCGGGCGUCGGGGGUCGAAAGUGUGGCUUUAUUUUACUAAAAAAAAUGAAAUAUCGGCUAAAUGUAACACGUGCGACAGGACUGUUUCGUGCUUAGGAGGGUGCACGUCGAAAAUGAUGAAGUACCUCCGAGUUCAUGGAGUACAAAUAAAUGCGUGUCCCGUCUUCGACGCGCUGCACCGACCGUCCUCCUCUGCCUCUUCCUCUGGCUCCGGCUCCGACGCCCAGCCUGGCACCUCGGUGACUGCACUGCAGUCCGAAUCCGGUAAGUAAAACAAUAUAUAUGCAAUAAAUAAUGUGUUUUGCGCCAACGUUAAGGCAGCUAACAAAUUAGCCGGCGUGUUUUUUCAUAGACAAUUUACAACCUGCUAGCCAGGCUCCGCGAUGUGCUCAGCGUACUCCGUUCACCAUAGCGGCAAUGGGGAAGAUGUCGGUGCCACAGACGGAAGAGUGCCACAGAAAGGUCACUGCACACAUAGUCAAAAGACUGCAUCCCUUUUCAGAGGUGGAAUCUCCAACAUUCAGGGAUAUGGUGAAAACUCUCAACCCAAAAUACAUACCACCUUCCAGGGACUACCUGGCAAACACAUUGAUCCUGAGAUGGUAUAAGAAGAAUCGGAAUCGAGAAUUGUCAGGAAUCGGAAUCGAAACAAAGACUCAGAAUCAGAAUCGUUUGAAUUCAAACGAUACCCAAUCCUAGUUUUAACACAUUGCCUGGCAUUGUCUUGCCGAAAUAAGCCGGGGCGUCCAUGAUAACAUUGCUUGGAUGACAGCAUAUGUUGCUCCAAAACCUGUAUGUACCUUUCAGCAUUAAUGGUGCCUUCACAGAUGUGUAAGUUACCCAUGCCUUGGGCACUGAUACACCCCCAUACCAUCACAGAUGCUGGCUUUUCAACUUUCCGCCUCUAUCAUUUCGAAUGGUUCUUUUCCUCUUUUUUUUCCGUUUGUUGCACUUUUAUUGUUUCAUUAUUUUUAUCUUGCAAUUUUACUUUUUAUUCGAACCCUUUUACUGUAGUGCUUUUGCACUAUCUUGUUUCGCUCAUUCAUUGUUUAUGUUCUUUGUUUGUUUUUUGUUUUUUUUGCUCUACUGUAUGCUUUUUAAACUGUAAAACAUUUUGGUCCAAUUUAAAAAUUGUUGUAAACGAGCUAUAUAAAUAAAGUUGCUUUGACUUGCCUUGC